Molecule: ribosomal RNA, 460 nt
Filed under: uncultured bacterium
Lineage: Bacteria
Description: partial 16S ribosomal RNA
Rfam family: Bacterial small subunit ribosomal RNA
Source: RNAcentral
CCUACGGGUGGCAGCAGUGAGGAAUAUUGGUCAAUGGACGAGAGUCUGAACCAGCCAAGUAGCGUGAAGGAUGACUGCCCUAUGGGUUGUAAACUUCUUUUAUAUGGGAAUAAAAUGUUCCACGUGUGGGAUUUUGUAUGUACCAUAUGAAUAAGGAUCGGCUAACUCCGUGCCAGCAGCCGCGGUAAUACGGAGGAUCCGAGCGUUAUCCGGAUUUAUUGGGUUUAAAGGGAGCGUAGGUGGAUGGUUAAGUCAGUUGUGAAAGUUUGCGGCUCAACCGUAAAAUUGCAGUUGAAACGGGCAGUCUUGAGUACAGUAGAGGUGGGCGGAAUUCGUGGUGUAGCGGUGAAAUGCUUAGAUAUCACGAAGAACUCCGAUUGCGAAGGCAGUUCACUGGACUGCAACUGACACUGAGGCUCGAAAGUGUGGGUAUCAAACAGGAUUAGAUACCCGAGUAGUC